Molecule: ribosomal RNA, 253 nt
Filed under: uncultured bacterium
Lineage: Bacteria
Description: partial 16S ribosomal RNA
Rfam family: Bacterial small subunit ribosomal RNA
Source: RNAcentral
UACGUAGGGGGCAAGCGUUGUCCGGAUUUAUUGGGCGUAAAGCGCGUGUAGGCGGCCAUGUAGGUCUGACGUGAAAUUCCGAGGCUCAACCUCGGCAGGUCGUUGGAAACCAUAUGGCUAGAGUCCGGAAGAGGAGAGUGGAAUUCCUGGUGUAGCGGUGAAAUGCGCAGAUAUCAGGAAGAACACCAAUGGCGGAGGCAGCUCUCUGGGACGGUACUGACGCUGAGACGCGAAAGCGUGGGGAGCGAACAGG